Ooceraea biroi (clonal raider ant) is the source of this 704-nucleotide long non-coding RNA. RefSeq lists it as uncharacterized. The record is from RefSeq and is a predicted model, not a curated record. Lineage: Eukaryota; Metazoa; Arthropoda; Insecta; Hymenoptera; Formicidae.
ACAGUAGGGACAAGCACCCGUUUUCGAGUCAGCCACGCAGAUUUACUUGCGCAUCCCAAGCGGCCAUGUUCUUGGGCGCACCAAUCCCGUUCAAAGUAAAGAACGCACAUUAUCUCCGUAACUGUGAUCAUAUACAGAUAGAGAAACAUAACCAAAUAUAAAAAUUCGCAUAUUGUAUUGUAUUCCCAGUGAGAAAGCUGUUAUCAAUUCAAUAUCGAAUCGAUAUCAAUGCCAUCACAAUAUAUCGACAGAUAUAUAUAUAUACAACGUGGAAACAUUGACGGAUUUAAAAAUUUCGAUCUUUCUUCGAGAUAUACCGCUAAAAGGUUUACAUUCAAAAAUAUAAUUGAUUUUACAAACGUCAUUACCAAUUAUUAUAACAAGUUGUUGCAAAAUUUGCUUAGUUAUAUUCAAAAAUAUUCAUAAAUUCAAGUAAAAAAGUGUUUAUCUCGCGAGAAAUGAUGAUCGAAAAGAUGUCAUAUCGAUGUCGAAUCGAUGUGAGGUAUUUGCUUGUACUAGCCUCACUUUUGUGUCUCCGGCCGUACAUGUUGCUGCGUGUCUCUGGUCACAUCACUUUGAUCUAAGGAUCACUAUAAAGAAAGUUUAUAGCGCAACCUAAACUAUUUCUCAUUGCUGCAGAUAUUUAUAUACAUAUAUGUACUUUGAGUACGCAUACAGUAUUAAUAUACUGAUUGGAUAACUUA